GAUACCCGAAUGGGGAAACCCAGUGUGAUUCGUCACACUAUCAUUAACUGAAUCCAUAGGUUAAUGAGGCGAACCGGGGGAACUGAAACAUCUAAGUACCCCGAGGAAAAGAAAUCAACCGAGAUUCCCCCAGUAGCGGCGAGCGAACGGGGAGGAGCCCAGAGCCUGAAUCAGCAUGUGUGUUAGUGGAAGCGUCUGGAAAGGCGCGCGAUACAGGGUGACAGCCCCGUACACAAAAGCGCAUGUGCUGUGAGCUCGAUGAGUAGGGCGGGACACGUGGUAUCCUGUCUGAAUAUGGGGGGACCAUCCUCCAAGGCUAAAUACUCCUGACUGACCGAUAGUGAACCAGUACCGUGAGGGAAAGGCGAAAAGAACCCCGGCGAGGGGAGUGAAAAAGAACCUGAAACCGU
This 410-nucleotide ribosomal RNA is filed under the name Salmonella enterica. Its description in RNAcentral is "partial 23S ribosomal RNA". It matches the Rfam family "Bacterial large subunit ribosomal RNA", at positions 109 to 559 of the family's 2925-position model. The record is from RNAcentral. RNAcentral also lists the same sequence under 4 other names. Lineage: Bacteria; Pseudomonadati; Pseudomonadota; Gammaproteobacteria; Enterobacterales; Enterobacteriaceae.